RNAcentral lists this long non-coding RNA (443 nucleotides) under Bos taurus (domestic cattle). RNAcentral describes it as "long non-coding RNA NONBTAT015344". Lineage: Eukaryota; Metazoa; Chordata; Mammalia; Artiodactyla; Bovidae. The record is from RNAcentral.
GGAAAACAUUCCUGUUAUUUUCCGUGCAUCUGAAUUAAAAACCAAGUCCUUAUAUUGUGAACUUAAGAAGAUGUAUCACAGAGAUGCUUUCUCUUAGCAUCAGUGCUGUUGUGAGGAAACAUACAGUGUGACCAGGUUGAAAGGGGUUACCCGGCGUGUUUCAUCCAUUGGGCCAGUUAGCCUUUGUUUUCCUCAGAUACUAGAGUUACAAUGCCUGAGCACAUUAAAAUUGAUUUUGUGGAUCUGGUAGGUUUUGAAAGUGCUAAUAGUAGUCACUGUCCAGACUUCAGUGACCUCACACAAGGGUUUCUCCCUGUUGGUUGCAGGUCUGUUGGAAAUGCUACAAUAGUAGCUGUCGAUGAUGAUUUUUAAUGGAGAAGCAGAGGUGGCUCUAUAAUUUCUGUGGCUCCUUAGCAGACAUGAAAAAUGGCAGGAAAUAAGCU